This 854-nucleotide ribosomal RNA is filed under the name Pseudomonas veronii. RNAcentral's name for it is "bacterial SSU rRNA". It matches the Rfam family "Bacterial small subunit ribosomal RNA", at positions 42 to 892 of the family's 1533-position model. The record is from RNAcentral. Lineage: Bacteria; Pseudomonadati; Pseudomonadota; Gammaproteobacteria; Pseudomonadales; Pseudomonadaceae.
GCAGGCCUAACACAUGCAAGUCGAGCGGUAGAGAGAAGCUUGCUUCUCUUGAGAGCGGCGGACGGGUGAGUAAUGCCUAGGAAUCUGCCUGGUAGUGGGGGAUAACGUUCGGAAACGGACGCUAAUACCGCAUACGUCCUACGGGAGAAAGCAGGGGACCUUCGGGCCUUGCGCUAUCAGAUGAGCCUAGGUCGGAUUAGCUAGUUGGUGAGGUAAUGGCUCACCAAGGCGACGAUCCGUAACUGGUCUGAGAGGAUGAUCAGUCACACUGGAACUGAGACACGGUCCAGACUCCUACGGGAGGCAGCAGUGGGGAAUAUUGGACAAUGGGCGAAAGCCUGAUCCAGCCAUGCCGCGUGUGUGAAGAAGGUCUUCGGAUUGUAAAGCACUUUAAGUUGGGAGGAAGGGCAGUUACCUAAUACGUGAUUGUUUUGACGUUACCGACAGAAUAAGCACCGGCUAACUCUGUGCCAGCAGCCGCGGUAAUACAGAGGGUGCAAGCGUUAAUCGGAAUUACUGGGCGUAAAGCGCGCGUAGGUGGUUUGUUAAGUUGGAUGUGAAAUCCCCGGGCUCAACCUGGGAACUGCAUUCAAAACUGACUGACUAGAGUAUGGUAGAGGGUGGUGGAAUUUCCUGUGUAGCGGUGAAAUGCGUAGAUAUAGGAAGGAACACCAGUGGCGAAGGCGACCACCUGGACUGAUACUGACACUGAGGUGCGAAAGCGUGGGGAGCAAACAGGAUUAGAUACCCUGGUAGUCCACGCCGUAAACGAUGUCAACUAGCCGUUGGGAGCCUUGAGCUCUUAGUGGCGCAGCUAACGCAUUAAGUGAACCCUUGGGACGGGCCAAGGAAAU